AUGCUUGGGAUCACAGUUGACAGUUGCUCAAACGAAAUGUCACAGCUAAGAGCCUCCUGUUGCAUUUCCUGGAAUGUAGUCGAUGCUUCUCGGUGGCAGGCCACUGUGCCCCCAACCCUCAGCCCUGGGAUGUCCAGUGGUUGGUUCAUCACAUCUUCUCAUGGGUCUCCAGGCAGCCCUUUUAAAGCUCAUUUCAGGGAAUUUUCACUCUCUCCUGGUUUCUUCAAGUUUGCAUCUUCCCACCUGGGGUUCUGUUCAUCUAACAAUCUACCUCCAUUACAAGAAAGUAAGUACAAAAUAUUAAAAAAAAAAUCCUCCUGAGGCUGGAAAUGUAGUUCUGUGGUAGAGCAUGAGUUUACCAUGCAUGAGGCUCUGAGUUCAAUCCCCUACACCAAACAAACAAAGUAUUUCCCUGUCUCAAAAGCAUUUCCGUCACAUGAUAAGUAAGCAUACAAUCCAGGUUUAUACAGCUGAGGACAUUUGCUGUCACAAACCCCCAAAAUUUGAGAGCUAUAAAAACCCUGAUUUAACAGAUGAUGAAAGACCAGAAGACUAAGGAAGACCGUUAUAUUCUAAAAUCUAUUUCUCCUUUCACAAUAAUAGAAUUAUAGCUUAAUGUGGCCCUAUGACUACAUUCUCACUAAUGAAAAGAGACAGAGACAAUUUACGCAAUUUUGAAGUCAUUUGCUUAAAAGGAAGUUGCUGGUUAAUUCCUUCUCCUUCCUGCUUCUGUUGAGCAGAAAAUCAGACCUGCCAGCAAUGCAGCUGGGGCAGUUCAGACAAAAACGACACCCUUGCCACCUUACUAUUCUUUUUUGUUGUAGUUGUUUUGAGACAGGAUCUUGCUAUAUAGUUCAGGCUGGCCUUGAACUCACUAUGUAGUGAUUCUCCUGCCUCAGCCUCCAAGUGUUGGGAUUACAAGCACGAGC
Molecule: long non-coding RNA, 929 nt
Filed under: Fukomys damarensis (Damara mole-rat)
Lineage: Eukaryota; Metazoa; Chordata; Mammalia; Rodentia; Bathyergidae
Description: lncRNA (ENSFDAG00000027690.1)
Source: RNAcentral